RNAcentral lists this unclassified non-coding RNA (390 nucleotides) under soil metagenome. Its description in RNAcentral is "partial contains 5.8S ribosomal RNA, internal transcribed spacer 2, and large subunit ribosomal RNA". The stretch from base 1 to 122 matches the Rfam family "5.8S ribosomal RNA", at positions 35 to 154 of the family's 154-position model. The record is from RNAcentral.
GAUGAAGAACGCAGCGAAAUGCGAUACUUGGUGUGAAUUGCAGAAUCCCGUGAACCAUCGAGUCUUUGAACGCAAGUUGCACCCGAAGCCAUUAGGCCGAGGGCACGCCUGCCUGGGCGUCACACGUCGUUGCCCCCCAUCUACUCCUUCGGGAUUGCGGGGGGCGGAUGAUGGCCUCCCGUGCGCCUCGUCGCGCGGUUGGCAUAAAUGCCAAGUCCUCGGCGACGCACGCCACGACAAUCGGUGGUUGCGAAACCUCGGUUGCCCGUCGUGUGCGGUCGUCGCGCAUCGAGGGCUCGAAAAAAUUGCCGGGCUCCGGCUCGGCUUUCAACGCGACCCCAGGUCAGGCGGGGUUACCCGCUGAAUUUAAGCAUAUCAAUAAGCGGAGGA